Humulus lupulus (European hop) is the source of this 107-nucleotide small nucleolar RNA. The record is from RefSeq and is a predicted model, not a curated record. NCBI's taxonomy places the organism in Eukaryota, Viridiplantae, Streptophyta, Magnoliopsida, Rosales, Cannabaceae.
AUACCAUGAUGUUGACACUUUCUUAAUAAUUCAUUAAAUCACUCCCAAGAAUCAUACAGUAACUCUCCUUACAUCUGGUAAAAAGUAUUAAUCUAUCCCCUUAGUUU